GCCCUCGUAGCUCAGGUGGAUAGAGCAGCGGUUUCCUAAACCGUUGGCCGCAGGUUCGAGUCCUGCCGGGGGCA
This 74-nucleotide transfer RNA is filed under the name Gemmatirosa sp. RNAcentral's name for it is "tRNA-Arg". It matches the Rfam family "tRNA". Rfam says of the family: Transfer RNA (tRNA) molecules are approximately 80 nucleotides in length. Their secondary structure includes four short double-helical elements and three loops (D, anti-codon, and T loops). The record is from RNAcentral. Lineage: Bacteria; Pseudomonadati; Gemmatimonadota; Gemmatimonadia; Gemmatimonadales; Gemmatimonadaceae. RNAcentral also lists the same sequence under 1 other name.